GACGAACGCUGGCGGCGUGCCUAAUACGUGCAAGUCGAGCGCAGAAGGUUGGUGCUUGUACCAACUGGAUGAGCAGCGGACGGGUGAGUAACGCGUGGGGAAUCUGCCUUUGAGCGGGGGAUAACAUCUGGAAACGAAUGCUAAUACCGCAUAAAAACUUUAAACACAAGUUUCAAGUUUGAAAGAUGCACUUGCAUCACCCUAAGAUGAUCUCCCGUUUUCUUAGCUAGUUGGUGAGGUAAAGGGCCAACAAGGCGAUGAUACAUAGCCGACCUGAGAGGGGGGUCGGCCACAAUUGGACUGGGACACGGCCCAAGCUUCCACGGGAGGCAGCAGGAGGGGAACUUCGGCAAUGGACGAAAGUCUGACCGGGCAACGCCGCGGGGGGGGAGGAGGUUUUCGGAUCGGUAAAAUCUUUUUGUUGGGAAGGAAGAUAGGUGGAAUUGAAAGCUCAUAAAGUGACGGUAACUACUCAGAAAGGGACGGCUAACUACGUG
RNAcentral lists this ribosomal RNA (497 nucleotides) under uncultured bacterium. RNAcentral's name for it is "partial 16S ribosomal RNA". It matches the Rfam family "Bacterial small subunit ribosomal RNA", at positions 28 to 507 of the family's 1533-position model. The record is from RNAcentral.